CUAAUUAAAACGUCAGCCAUGUUCGAGUGAUAUAAUUUAACGCGCCGCGGUAUACUGACCGUGCGAAGGACACAUAAAUCACUUGUUCUUUAAAUGGGGACUAGUAUGAAUGGCAACACGAGGGCUUUACUGUCUCCUCUCUUCAAUCAGUGAAACUGACCUCCCUGUGAAGAGGCAGGGAUACUACUCUCACACGAGAAGACCCCAUGGAGCUUUAAACCCAACAACAGCCCAAACACCCACCCCCUCAAAGUUUUAAAGUUUUGUUAGUUGGUUUUAGGUUGGGGUGACCGCGGAGUAUAAACUACCCUCCACGACGAAUGGGCCUACCCCCUUACCCAAGAAUUACACCUCUAAGGAUUAACACAUUAACGUAAAAUGAUCCAAAUAAUUGAUCAACGAACCAAGUUACCCUGGGGAUAACAGCGCUAUCCAUUUUUAGAGCCCCUAUCGACAAAUGGGUUUACGACCUCGAUGUUGGAUCAGGGUAUCCCGGAGGUGCAGCCGCUUCCAAUGGUUUGUUUGUUCAACAAUUAAAACCCUACGUGAUCUGAGUUCAGACCGGA
RNAcentral lists this ribosomal RNA (566 nucleotides) under Euphlyctis cyanophlyctis (skittering frog). RNAcentral describes it as "partial 16S ribosomal RNA". It matches the Rfam family "Bacterial large subunit ribosomal RNA", at positions 1875 to 2620 of the family's 2925-position model. The record is from RNAcentral. Lineage: Eukaryota; Metazoa; Chordata; Amphibia; Anura; Dicroglossidae.